AUAUAAUUAAGCGGAGGAAAAGAAACUAACAAGGAUUCCUUUAGUAACGGCGAGUGAACAAGGAACAGCCCAUCACCGAAUCCUUCUCGACCUCGGGUAAGGAGUUGUGGUGUAAAGGACAGUCUUUGCUAUAGUAUUGUCGGCCCAAGUUCUCUUGAAUGGGGCUUUACCCAGAGCGGGUGUCAGGCCUCUAGCGGCUGCACAAUACUGUAACUUUGAUUGUCCCGAGAGUCGGGUUGCUUGAGAUCGCAGUCCUAAGACGGGUGGUAAACUCCAUCCAAGGCUAAAUACCGUCGCGAGACCGAUAGCGCACAAGUA
RNAcentral lists this ribosomal RNA (318 nucleotides) under uncultured eukaryote. Its description in RNAcentral is "partial large subunit ribosomal RNA". It matches the Rfam family "Eukaryotic large subunit ribosomal RNA", at positions 40 to 350 of the family's 3401-position model. The record is from RNAcentral.